RNAcentral lists this long non-coding RNA (1285 nucleotides) under Citrus x clementina. RNAcentral's name for it is "Citrus clementina (C. clementina) long non-coding RNA (CCLE_LNC006316)". The record is from RNAcentral. Lineage: Eukaryota; Viridiplantae; Streptophyta; Magnoliopsida; Sapindales; Rutaceae.
GGAAAAAGGCCACAAAAACGGGUGGGCUAUAGCCUUGGGGGGUGGGGCUGGCCAACUUCGUCCGCCGGACUCGGAAUGUCGCGAGACUUUGCGAGGGGCCUCCGUGCGCCAAAAAUAGGCCACGGACAAAGCCAUGGCCGAAAAUAACUGCCCGAAGGCCGGGGCGCCAUGUUCGUCCAGCGGAAACAGGCCACAAAAACGGGUGGGCUAUAGCCUUGGGGGGUGGGGACGGCCCACUUCGUCCGCCGGACUCGGAAUCCCGCGAGACUUUGCGAGGGGCCUCCGUGUGCCAAAAAAAGGCCGCGGGCAAAGCCGCGCCCAAAAAUAACCGCCCGAAGGCCGGGGAGCCAAGUUCGUCCAGCGGACAAAGGACACAAAAACGGGUGGGCUAUAGCCUUGGGGGGUGGGGCUGGGCAACUUCGUCCGCCGGACUCGGAAUCCCGCGAGACUUUACGAGGGGCCUCCGUGUGCCAAAACUAGGCCGCGGGCAAAGCCAUGCCCAAAAAUAACCGCCCGCUGGCCGGGGCGCCAAGUUCGUCCAGCGGAAAAAGGCCACAAAAACGGGUGGGCUAUAGCCUUGGGGGGUGGGGCCGGCCCACUUCGUCCGCCGGACUCGGAAUGGCGCAAGACUUUGCGAACGGGCUCCGUGUGCUAAAAAUAGGCCGCGGGCACAGCCGCACCAAAAAAUAACCGCCCGAAGGACGGGGCGCCAAAUUCGUCCAGCGGAAAAAGGCCACAAAAACGGGUGGGCUAUAGCCUUGGGGGGUGGGGCUGGCCGACUUCGUCCGCCGGACUCGGAAUGGCGCGAGACUUUACAAGGGGCCUCCGUGUGCCAAAAAUAGGCAUGGGCACAGCUGAGCCAAAAAAUAAGUGACCGAAGGCCGGGGCGCCAAGUUCGUCCAGCGGAAAAAGCCCAAAAAAACGGGUGGGCUAUAGCCUCGGGGAGUGGGGCCGGCCAAGUUCUUCCGCCGGACUCGGAAUGGCACGAGACUUUGCGAGGGGCCUCCGUGGGCCAAAAAUAGGACGCGGGCACUGCCGCGCCCAAAAAUAAGAGGCCGAAUGCCGGGCGCCAAAACCCCCCAGCGGAAAAAGGCCAAAAAAACGGGUGGUCUAUAGCCUUGGGGGGUGGGGCUGGCCAAGUUCGUCCUCCGGACUCGGAAUGGCGCGAGACUUUGCGAGGGGCCUCCGUGUGCCAAAAAUAGGCCGCGGACACAGUCACGCCCAAAUAUAAGCGACCGAAGGCCGGGGCGCCAAGUUCGUCCUGCGGAAAAAGGCCACAAAAACG